GUACACGGUGGAUGCCUUGGCAGUCAGAGGCGAUGAAAGACGUAGUAACUUGCGAUAAGCCCAGAUUAGGUAGUAACAACCAUUUGAGUCUGGGAUUUCUGAAUGGGGAAACCCACGUGCAUAAGCACGUAUCCUUACCUGAAUACAUAGGGUAAGGAGGCGAACCGGGGGAACUGAAACAUCUAAGUACCCCGAGGAAAAGAAAUCAACCGAGAUUCCGAAAGUAGCGGCGAGCGAAAUUGGACUAGCCCUUAAGCUUUACACGCGUUAGACGAACGGUCUGGAAAGUCCGACGAUACAGGGUGAUAGUCCCGUAGUUGACGACGUGUGUUCAGUGAAAUCGAGUAGGGCGGGACACGUGAUAUCCUGUCUGAAUAUGGGGGGACCAUCCUCCAAGGCUAAAUACUACUGACUGACCGAUAGUGAACCAGUACCGUGAGGGAAAGGCGAAAAGAACCCCUGUGAGGGGAGUGAAAUAGAACCUGAAACCGUGUACGUACAAGCAGUAGGAGCAGGCUUUGUCCUGUGACUGCGUACCUUUUGUAUAAUGGGUCAGCGACUUAUAUUCAGUGGCAAGGUUAACCAUCUAGGGGAGCCGUAGGGAAACCGAGUCUUAACUGGGCGUUCAGUCUCUGGAUAUAGACCCGAAACCAGGUGAUCUAGCCAUGGGCAGGUUGAAGGUUGAGUAACAUCAACUGGAGGACCGAACCGACUAAUUUGAAAAAUUAGCGGAUGACUUGUGGCUAGGGGUGAAAGGCCAAUCAAACCUGGAGAUAGCUGGUUCUCCCCGAAAGCUAUUUAGGUAGCGCCUCGGACGAAUACUACUGGGGGUAGAGCACUGUUAAGGCUAGGGGGUCAUCCCGACUUACCAACCCUUUGCAAACUCCGAAUACCAGUAAGUACUAUCCGGGAGACACACGGCGGGUGCUAACGUCCGUCGUGGAGAGGGAAACAACCCAGACCGCCAGCUAAGGUCCCAAAUUACUACUAAGUGGGAAACGAUGUGGGAAGGCUCAGACAGCCAGGAUGUUGGCUUAGAAGCAGCCAUCAUUUAAAGAAAGCGUAAUAGCUCACUGGUCGAGUCGGCCUGCGCGGAAGAUGUAACGGGGCUAAGUAGUAAACCGAAGCUGCGGCAAUGUGCUUUUGCACAUUGGGUAGGGGAGCGUUCUGUAAGCGGUUGAAGGUGUGUGGUAACGCAUGCUGGACGUAUCAGAAGUGCGAAUGCUGACAUGAGUAACGAUAAAGGGGGUGAAAAACCUCCUCGCCGGAAGACCAAGGGUUCCUGUCCAACGUUAAUCGGGGCAGGGUAAGUCGACCCCUAAGGCGAGGCCGAAAGGCGUAGUCGAUGGGAAACGGGUUAAUAUUCCCGUACUUCUUACAAUUGCGAUGGGGGGACGGAGAAGGCUAGGUGGGCCUGGCGACGGUUGUCCAGGUUCAAGUGYGUAGGCUURAGAGUUAGGUAAAUCCGGCUCUUUUUAAGGCUGAGACACGACGUCGAGCMWCUACGGWKGUGAAGUCAUUGAUGCCAUGCUUCCAGGAAAAGCCUCUAAGCUUCAGAUUGUAAGGAAUCGUACCCCAAACCGACACAGGUGGUCGGGUAGAGAAUACCAAGGCGCUUGAGAGAACUCGGGUGAAGGAACUAG
Molecule: ribosomal RNA, 1643 nt
Filed under: Salmonella enterica subsp. enterica serovar Typhi
Lineage: Bacteria; Pseudomonadati; Pseudomonadota; Gammaproteobacteria; Enterobacterales; Enterobacteriaceae
Description: partial 23S ribosomal RNA
Source: RNAcentral